GGUUGAUCAAAAAUGGCCUUAUCGAUUUCUAAAAAUCUCUUUAAAUAUUUCCAAACAUCUAAAAUUUACUAAUAAAAAUAAAAAUAAAAAUUUAAAAAUAUUUUAAUAAAUUUAAAAAUAAACUUAAAAAUUUUAAAUAAUAGUCGUAAAUAAAUAAGCAAAAAACCUCCUUAUAUUUUAUUUAGCGUAAACUUCAAACACCAUCUAUGUGGUUUCACACUCUCUCAUUUUAGUGCCUUGUGGUUUAAAGUGUAUCAAGUUAGUGUCUUGUGUUUCAUUUUUAUCUUUUCGCCAGCUUUUCCGUUAAUAUUUUGUUAAGUUACAUACAAAAAAACUUCGGAUACCCAACCUAGGUUUAUCGAAUAUUCACUUUAGUACUUUUAUUUUUAACUUUGUCACUGAUUUAACAAAAAAAAGUUAGUACUUUUAAUUUUAACUUUGUCACUAAUUUAACAAAAAAAAGUUAGUGAAAUCAAUAAUAAAAAGAUAAAAAUAAAAUCAUGGUAUACUAAAUUGAUGCACUUUAAACUAUAGAAUACUAAAGUGAGAAGUGUGAAACUAUAGAGGUAGUAUUUGAAGUUUUUUCUAUAUUUUAUCUAUAGGAGUUGAGCUAGAAUCCUAUCGGUAGUAAACGAGCCGUUUUACUACCGAUUUGUUUUUGAUGAUAGAACUUCCAAAUUGGCGAUCGGCUCCGUUGAACAUGAUCUAUACCACUUGAAGUGUUUAGAAAUCAAAUUUCAAAUCUUUUCGACAUCAUUUGCCUAAUGAUCAAAGGGUUUCAAAAUUUGUAAUUUUAAUGGUCGACAAGAGGCGUUUUCUCGUUUAACGGCGUAAAGAUAUCCAAAUCAAUUGAAUUUUUGACAUCAUUUGCCUAAUGAUCAAAGGGUUUCAAAAUUUGUAAUUUUAAUGGUCGACAAGAGGCGUUUUCUCGUUUAACGGCGUAAAGAUAUCCAAAUCAAUUGAAUUUUUAUUAGAAAAUUCUUUAAACUAUUUAAAACAAGACUCCUAUCAUCAUUUUUUAAAGAGUAUUCAUUUUCAGUCAUUCAUUUUUCUGUUCACUUGAUAGAUAAAAGAACAAUAUCGAAAGUGCGUGAAAUUUGAUUUCAAGAUAGUUUAAAUAGUUUAGAUCAUAUUUAACGGAGCCGAUCGUCAAUUUGGAAGGUUUAUCAUCAAAAAUAAAUCGGUAAUAAAACGGCCCAUUUACUGCCACCGGUAGUAUUCUAGCUCAACUCUUAUUUAUAGUUAUAUAUUAUUUACAUUGGGUAAGAUGUAGAU
RNAcentral lists this long non-coding RNA (1275 nucleotides) under Ananas comosus (pineapple). RNAcentral's name for it is "long non-coding RNA (ACOM_LNC014509)". Lineage: Eukaryota; Viridiplantae; Streptophyta; Magnoliopsida; Poales; Bromeliaceae. The record is from RNAcentral.